AGACGUAGGGGGCGAGCGUUAUCCGGAUUCACUGGGCGUAAAGGGCGCGUAGGCGGCUUAUCAAGUCAGGCGUGAAAUUCCCGGGCUCAACCUGGGGGCUGCGCUUGAUACUGAUGAGCUUGAAUGCGGGAGAGGAUAGUGGAAUUCCCAGUGUAGAGGUGAAAUUCGUAGAUAUUGGGAAGAACACCAGUGGCGAAGGCGGCUAUCUGGCCCGUAAUUGACGCUGAGGCGCGAAAGCGUGGGGAGCAAACAG
Molecule: ribosomal RNA, 253 nt
Filed under: uncultured prokaryote
Description: partial 16S ribosomal RNA
Rfam family: Bacterial small subunit ribosomal RNA
Source: RNAcentral